RNAcentral lists this ribosomal RNA (1016 nucleotides) under Enterococcus faecium. Its description in RNAcentral is "bacterial SSU rRNA". It matches the Rfam family "Bacterial small subunit ribosomal RNA", at positions 66 to 1053 of the family's 1533-position model. The record is from RNAcentral. Lineage: Bacteria; Bacillati; Bacillota; Bacilli; Lactobacillales; Enterococcaceae.
ACGCUUCUUUUUCCACCGGAGCUUGCUCCACCGGAAAAAGAGGAGUGGCGAACGGGUGAGUAACACGUGGGUAACCUGCCCAUCAUAAGGGGAUAACACUUGGAAACAGGUGCUAAUACCGUAUAACAAUCAAAACCGCAGGUUUUGAUUUGAAAGGCGCUUUCGGGUGUCGCUGAUGGAUGGACCCGCGGUGCAUUAGCUAGUUGGUGAGGUAACGGCUCACCAAGGCCACGAUGCAUAGCCGACCUGAGAGGGUGAUCGGCCACAUUGGGACUGAGACACGGCCCAAACUCCUACGGGAGGCAGCAGUAGGGAAUCUUCGGCAAUGGACGAAAGUCUGACCGAGCAACGCCGCGUGAGUGAAGAAGGUUUUCGGAUCGUAAAACUCUGUUGUUAGAGAAGAACAAGGAUGAGAGUAACUGUUCAUCCCUUGACGGUAUCUAACCAGAAAGCCACGGCUAACUACGUGCCAGCAGCCGCGGUAAUACGUACGUGGCAAGCGUUGUCCGGAUUUAUUGGGCGUAAAGCGAGCGCACGCGGUUUCUUAAGUCUGAUGUGAAAGCCCCCGGCUCAACCGGGGAGGGUCAUUGGAAACUGGGAGACUUGAGUGCAGAAGAGGAGAGUGGAAUUCCAUGUGUAGCGGUGAAAUGCGUAGAUAUAUGGAGGAACACCAGUGGCGAAGGCGGCUCUCUGGUCUGUAACUGACGCUGAGGCUCGAAAGCGUGGGGAGCAAACAGGAUUAGAUACCCUGGUAGUCCACGCCGUAAACGAUGAGUGCUAAGUGUUGGAGGGUUUCCGCCCUUCAGUGCUGCAGCUAACGCAUUAAGCACUCCGCCUGGGGAGUACGACCGCAGGGUUGAAACUCAAAGGAAUUGACGGGGGCCCGCACAAGCGGUGGAGCAUGUGGUUUAAUUCGAAACAACGCGGAUAACCUUACCAGGUCUUGACAUCCUUUGACCACUCUAGAGAUAGAGCUUCCCCUUCGGGGGCAAAGUGACGGGUGGUGCAUGGUUGUC